RNAcentral lists this ribosomal RNA (524 nucleotides) under uncultured bacterium. RNAcentral's name for it is "partial 16S ribosomal RNA". It matches the Rfam family "Bacterial small subunit ribosomal RNA", at positions 28 to 523 of the family's 1533-position model. The record is from RNAcentral.
GACGAACGCUGGCGGCGUGCCUAAUACAUGCAAGUCGAACGCUUCUUUUCCCACCGGAGCUUGCUCCACCGGGAAAAGAGGAGUGGCGAACGGGUGAGUAACACGUGGGUAACCUGCCCAUCAGAAGGGGAUAACACUUGGAAACAGGUGCUAAUACCGUAUAACAAUCGAAACCGCAUGGUUUCGUUUUGAAAGGCGCUUUACGGUUCCGCUGAUGGGUGGACCCGCGGUGCAUUAGCUAGUUGGUGAGGUAACGGCUCACCAAGGCCACGAUGCAUAGCCGACCUGAGAGGGUGAUCGGCCACAUUGGGACUGAGACACGGCCCAAACUCCUACGGGAGGCAGCAGUAGGGAAUCUUCGGCAAUGGACGAAAGUCUGACCGAGCAACGCCGCGUGAGUGAAGAAGGUUUUCGGAUCGUAAAACUCUGUUGUUAGAGAAGAACAAGGGUGAGAGUAACUGUUCACCCCUUGACGGUAUCUAACCAGAAAGCCACGGCUAACUACGUGCCAGCCGCCGCUGUAA